Molecule: ribosomal RNA, 494 nt
Filed under: uncultured bacterium
Lineage: Bacteria
Description: partial 16S ribosomal RNA
Rfam family: Bacterial small subunit ribosomal RNA
Source: RNAcentral
GACGAACGCUGGCGGCGUGCUUAACACAUGCAAGUCGAACGGUGAAGCGCCUUCCUUUUUGGUGGGUGUGGAUGAGUGGCGAACGGGUGAGUAACACGUGAGUAACCUGCCCCCUUCUUCUGGAUAACCGCAUGAAAGUGUGGCUAAUACGGGAUAUUCUGGGUCUGUCGCAUGAUGGGUCUGGGAAAGAUAUUGUUUCGGUGGGGGAUGGGCUCGCGGCCUAUCAGCUUGUUGGUGGGGUGAUGGCCUACCAAGGCGGUGACGGGUAGCCGGCCUGAGAGGGUGGACGGUCACACUGGGACUGAGACACGGCCCAGACUCCUACGGGAGCCAGCAGUGGGGAAUAUUGCACAAUGGGCGAAAGCCUGAUGCAGCGACGCCGCGUGAGGGAUGGAGGCCUUCGGGUUGUGAACCUCUUUCGCCAGUGAAGCAGGCCUGCCUCGUUUGUGGGUGGGUUGACGGUAGCUGGAUAAGAAGCGCCGGCUAACUACGUG